Long non-coding RNA from Cannabis sativa, 1219 nucleotides. RefSeq lists it as uncharacterized. The transcript is spliced from 2 exons. Lineage: Eukaryota; Viridiplantae; Streptophyta; Magnoliopsida; Rosales; Cannabaceae. The record is from RefSeq and is a predicted model, not a curated record.
UUCCCGGCCUUCUGAGAAUUGGGUGUGCCUUUAACAGCACCUCUAUUGAUUUGCCUGGCUGCUUGAGCGCCGGAACCUCCCCCUGAUCCAACCAAAAGCAACAAUUAAACGGACAAUAACAAGAACUAAAAAGGUUUUUUUUUCAGUUUUUUAGGCAGAAGCAGUUGCUUUACUAGUAGUAGGUUUGCGUUGGGCUCAAGAUGUGGGACUUCCCGUGAAGAGGGUUUUUUCUGAUUCACUUUCUUUGGUCUCAGCUUUGGAGGGUCAGAUAGUGUAUUUGAAUGAAUUGGGAGUUAUCUUUUCUGAUAUCAAAGUCAUAUUGUCUAGUUUUCCUAGGUCUCUCUCAUAUUACUUUAAUGUUGAGGCCCAUAAAUUGGCUAAGCAUGCUCUUAGGAUAGACAAUGAACUUUCUUAGAUGGAAGAAAUCCCCACCUACUAUGUAACCUUUGUUACUUUUGUUAUUUUAACUUUUAUCGGUUACCCAAAAAAAAAAAAGUAGACUACAAUGUUCUCGAGUAGGUGACUUGAGAAAUGGGAAUAUGGAACCGUGUCUGUUAUGAUUGUUAUGUUCUAAUUUGGAGACUGCAAUUGGACAUAAUGUAUGUAUGUAUGUAUCUGUGUGUAAAUAUAUAUAGGGAGAGAGGCAGGGAGAACAAACUCACUGUUAUUUGGUAGAGAUAACCUCUUCUUUGCUUGUUUAUCAGCUUGUGUGGAUCUCUCUUUUGGAUUGCUUUGAGAUCUCGAACUGACAGCAGGUUUUGAGUUUCCUUCUGCAGUUUGAUCUUCUAAAUGUGGCUUGGAUUUUGGCUUGGGAUGUUGUGUGUUGGAAGGCUCAACUAUGGCUGCUGAUUUGCUGGGCGAUGAACUGCAGCCAUCAGAAUGAGCAGCACCAGUUUUCUGUUGCAAAAGAUUUGAGUGCAUAUUUGUUGUAAUUGGCUUUUUCCCAGCAGAUUUUAACUGGGAUUUGGUUCCAUUUUUGCCCUCAGCUGAUCCAUUCUCUCGUACCAUAACUCCAUCUGUAAGAUUUAUAUCUAAAAAUCGGUUUUCCCAAGGGCGAACCGCCAUCCAUCUCUCUAACCAGUUCCAUCCCCAGCUGCUUUUAUCUGGUUCAAAUCCAGAAGGAGCAGCCUGUUGUCUAGAUCCCGCUUGCCACUGCAGGCAGAAUGAUUUAAGCUCAAUGAUAUACGGUAUACUUCAAACAAUUAUUGCAAGGGGUAAA